RNAcentral lists this ribosomal RNA (254 nucleotides) under uncultured bacterium. RNAcentral's name for it is "partial 16S ribosomal RNA". It matches the Rfam family "Bacterial small subunit ribosomal RNA", at positions 524 to 776 of the family's 1533-position model. The record is from RNAcentral.
CACGUAGGGUGCGAGCGUUGACCGGAAUUAUUGGGCGUAAAGAGCUCGUAGGCGGUGUGUCGCGUCGGCCGUGAAAACCUGCAGCUUAACUGUGGGCUUGCGGUCGAUACGGGCAUCACUGGAGUUCGGCAGGGGAGACUGGAAUUCCUGGUGUAGCGGUGAAAUGCGCAGAUAUCAGGAGGAACACCGGUGGCGAAGGCGGGUCUCUGGGCCGAUACUGACGCUGAGGAGCGAAAGCGUGGGGAGCGAACAGG